CUUUACAUGAUAUUGUAAGUAAUUUUACGGAAGGGUACUUCAACACUACUUAAACGAGUUUAUCGCUGACCAGAGAGUUGAUUUGCAACAUAUCCAUAAGUCUUGUGCAAAGAGAUUUUUGUCUUUCAACAAUUAUCUUCUGAGAUUUCAAGUAAAAGAACCUAAAUCAACGAAAUAUUUUACAAAAUAGAGAAAAUAUGAUAUGAUCUUUGACGUCAUAGAGCCAGCCGGUUGAAGGAGAUUUCUUUUGAAAUUAUCAUGGAUGCAAGUGAGAUCAACAGAAGUGAUACUGUCAAAAUUCAUUGUAAUAACUAACAAGACGUAUGAUAUACGCAAACAACCUCGCGAAUAAAGUUUACAAAAAGCUGUCUAUCAAAUUGCGAUUUUUGUUACGAAGUUAGACACGACAUAUUUUACUAUUCAGAUACGCAAUAAUAUUUGUUACACACUUAUUUUUCAAAAUUGGUUUGUGAGACCUUCCUGAACGGAAAAUUCCUCGAACUUUUAAUUUUCGAUGGGUCCGUCUUGGGUGAACCGACUGACAGGAAGAAGAAAGACCACAAACCCACAAAACCCAAAAUUUGCGAAAUUCAUUAAUUCAGUUAAUUCUGCCUACAUUCACUUUUAAAAAGUUUGGUGGAAACACCUUUAUUUAUUAGUUAGUUAAACAAGUGUUUUGAACACUUGUCUUAUCUUUUUAAAAAAGAAAAAAGAAAAAAAAAGUAAAAAUAGUUACCAAGAUGAGAUUCGAACACACGACGACUCCCGUGUCGGUGCUCAGAGAGGCAAAAAUUUCCAUUCUUGUAGGACACAUUUGCGUUUUAAUACAAGCUCACGAGCUUGUAACAAAUG
This is a long non-coding RNA of Hydractinia symbiolongicarpus, 852 nucleotides long. RefSeq lists it as uncharacterized. The record is from RefSeq and is a predicted model, not a curated record. The transcript has 3 exons. Lineage: Eukaryota; Metazoa; Cnidaria; Hydrozoa; Anthoathecata; Hydractiniidae.